GUACCCUAUGUCAGCUAUGCAUUAGGUGACAGCAGCAGUCAAAAGCACUCCUGCGGUACACCUGUAGCCCCGAUGCAUAAGUGGUAUGGGUUUGCGCCAGCUGAAAGGUGCUGUGUAUCCGGGGAAUUCUCAGGGAGAGCUAGGGCAGCUCUGGGCUCCUGCCACCUCCCUGCUUCAAGGGGCUGAAGUGUGUUCCCCCCGAAGGCAGCACUGCUGCUGCGGACUGUGGUGAACAGCAGUGUUCAGUUGAGGUCAGAUGAUGACACCUCACUUGAGAGUUUCUGUGCAUUCUGCAGUUCUGUUUUGAAGUUGCAGUUACAAAGUAUAUUAAUUCUAUUGCCCAUGCAUUUCAGUGCUCAGAAAAGAGAAGUGUAAAUUGAAGUUGGUUGUGCUCUGAAGAAACCCACUUCUGUGUGUGAGAGGGCAUCUCCUUACCAGCCAUCACCUUUCCGUUGGUAUAGAUGCCAGUUUCUGUCAACGGUGAUUGAUUGGUUUGGGGGGAAAUAUCCCAGUUCAGGAGAAAUGAGGGUGAGAUCACCUACUUGGUCUACAAGGCCCCCCACGAGCUGGCAGGAGGGAUCAUCUUGCAUUGCUCUGGACCAGCUGUGUGGAGGCUGGAGUAGUUCUAGGGCUCAUCACGAGUCUCCUAAGCUAUUCACUCCUCUUCUGUGUAGAAUGUGGUUAUUGUGCAUUUAUUUAAAGUGCUUCAGGUAGGAAAAUGGAUAUUUACAAUUAAAUAUAUGUAAAUGGAAGUGGGAAGGCUUGAUUGGAAAAAUACCAAGUUUCUAAUACAUAUUACUAUACUAAGACCUCCCACACAAGAUAAACAUUUAUAGUCAGAUCUAAUGAAUAUUCCUCUCUGGUUACUGUGCCAAUGGAGAGCCAUAGAAGUAUCAAAAUCUUUUUGUUUGCAUCUCGAUCCUCUACAGAACUGGAAGAAUAUUUUAUUUGAUUUGGCUCUAGUUUAUUCUGUGCAAUGUUAUGCCUCUAGUUAAUCCAAUAAAUGUUUAUUGGGCUGGCCAAAUGUGAUGCUGUACCUUUUAAUUCUUCUUGUGUGACUAUGCAAUGUACAAAGAGCAGGUGAUCCUUGCAAAUGUCGAACAUUAAAAGAGAAAGUAUUGAGCUGU
RNAcentral lists this long non-coding RNA (1127 nucleotides) under Strigops habroptila (Kakapo). RNAcentral describes it as "lncRNA (ENSSHBG00005010239.1)". Lineage: Eukaryota; Metazoa; Chordata; Aves; Psittaciformes; Psittacidae. The record is from RNAcentral.